RNAcentral lists this ribosomal RNA (460 nucleotides) under uncultured bacterium. Its description in RNAcentral is "partial 16S ribosomal RNA". It matches the Rfam family "Bacterial small subunit ribosomal RNA", at positions 338 to 795 of the family's 1533-position model. The record is from RNAcentral.
CCUACGGGAGGCAGCAGUGAGGAAUAUUGGUCAAUGGACGAGAGUCUGAACCAGCCAAGUAGCGUGAAGGAUGACUGCCCUAUGGGUUGUAAACUUCUUUUAUAUGGGAAUAAAAUGUUCCACGUGUGGGAUUUUGUAUGUACCAUAAGAAUAAGGAUCGGCUAACUCCGUGCCAGCAGCCGUGGUAAUACGGAGGAUCCGAGCGUUAUCCGGAUUUAUUGGGUUUAAAGGGAGCGUAGGUGGAUUGUUAAGUCAGUUGUGAAAGUUUGCGGCUCAACCGUAAAAUUGCAGUUGAAACUGGCAGUCUUGAGUACAGUAGAGGUGGGCGGAAUUCGUGGUGUAGCGGUGAAAUGCUUAGAUAUCACGAAGAACUCCGAUUGCGAAGGCAGUUCACUGGACUGCAACUGACACUGAGGCUCGAAAGUGUGGGUAUCAAACAGGAUUAGAUACCCCUGUAGUC